ACAGGAAACCCCGGUGAGUUUUCAAGUCAUUCUUGAAUUCAUUCAUUCAUUCAUUCAUUCAGCCAUCUGAAAACAUCUAUUGACCACAUACUACAAGCCAGCUUUAGUUUUCGGCCCCAGGAAGCCUCAUCCUGACUUCCUCUUGAUUGUGGGAUGCGAGGUGUUCCCAGCUAGAGGCCUGUGGGAGAAAAGAAACCUCAUUCUUGGAGUCGGAGAGAAAGUUGUGAACAUUGAACACCCUCCCUCUCAAUGUGGCCAGAGUGUGGGAAGGAGUGGGGUAGAGGCUUGUAGCUCAUGAGACCCACCUCCGCUCUGUGCUCUGUAGGUCAUUCCUCAGGUCCUCCAGGGCACAAGCUUGAGGGACAGGGCCCAGCUUUGGGUCUGGGGAUUCAGUCAUCUGACAUUGCCUGGCAGGUGGAUCUCCACUGUGGGAGGGGAAUGGGGUGAGGAAGGCCUGAGGGACAGGGCGCAGAGAGGUGAGCUCAUGGAUGUGAGCAAACAGGAGAGAAGAAAGAAUGUGAGAUUGGAUUGCGUGUGUAUGAAGGAGAGGAAGACUCGUGCUGGGGGAUUAGCUGUGGGGGUCCUGUUCCACUCCCUGUUUGUGGUGACUGGUCAUGAAGUAAGUCACCAGGAUGACCCUGUCUUUCCAAUUGCCCACCACCUGUGGCUCUUUUUCCCCCCCCUGCCCCCCCAUAUUUCCCUUCCCUGACACCUCCUGUCCCAACCUCUCUAACCCCCCUGGGCAUUUUCUGGCUUGCCUGGAUAGAUUUAGAGACCUGCUUGUUGGCUAUAAUGUCUUUUCAUUCAUUCAUUCUUCUUUUUCUUUUUUUAAAAAAACAAAAUGAAACAACAAAACCAAAAAGUAUCCAGAA
Molecule: long non-coding RNA, 872 nt
Filed under: Androctonus crassicauda
Lineage: Eukaryota; Metazoa; Arthropoda; Arachnida; Scorpiones; Buthidae
Source: RNAcentral